CCUACGGGAGGCAGCAGUGGGGAAUAUUGCACAAUGGGCGCAAGCCUGAUCCAGCAAUGCCGCGUGAAGGAAGAAGGCUUUCGGGUUGUAAACCUCUUUGACAGGGGGAGAGCAGAAGACGGUACCCUGAAAACAAGCCACGGCUAACUACGUGCCAGCAGCCGCGGUAAUACGUAGGUGGCAAGCGUUGUCCGGUUUUACUGGGUGUAAAGGGCGUGUAGCCGGGAAGGCAAGUCAGAUGUGAAAUCUGGAGGCUCAACCUCCAAAUUGCAUGUGAAACUGUGUUUCUUGAGUACUGGAGAGGCAGACGGAAUUCCUUGUGUAGCGGUGAAAUGCGUAGAUAUAAGGAGGAACACCAGUGGCGAAGGCGGUCUGUUGGACAGCAACUGACGGUGAGGCGCGAAAGCGUGGGGAGCAAACAGGAUUAGAUACCCCUGUAGUC
RNAcentral lists this ribosomal RNA (442 nucleotides) under uncultured bacterium. Its description in RNAcentral is "partial 16S ribosomal RNA". It matches the Rfam family "Bacterial small subunit ribosomal RNA", at positions 338 to 795 of the family's 1533-position model. The record is from RNAcentral.